UACGUAGGUGGCAAGCGUUGUCCGGAUUUAUUGGGUUUAAGGGGUGCGUAGGCGGUCCUAUAAGUCAGUUGUGAAAUACGGCAGCUUAACUGUCGAGGUGCAAUUGAUACUGCAGGACUUGAGUACAGACGAGGUAGGCGGAAUUGACGGUGUAGCGGUGAAAUGCUUAGAUAUCGUCCAGAACACCGAUAGCGAAGGCAGCUUACUAAGGAGUAACUGACGCUGAGGCACGAAAGUGUGGGGAUCAAACAGG
This 253-nucleotide ribosomal RNA is filed under the name uncultured bacterium. RNAcentral's name for it is "partial 16S ribosomal RNA". It matches the Rfam family "Bacterial small subunit ribosomal RNA", at positions 524 to 776 of the family's 1533-position model. The record is from RNAcentral.